RNAcentral lists this signal recognition particle RNA (300 nucleotides) under Cebus imitator (Panamanian white-faced capuchin). RNAcentral's name for it is "Metazoan signal recognition particle RNA (ENSCCAG00000013582.1)". It matches the Rfam family "Metazoan signal recognition particle RNA". Rfam says of the family: The signal recognition particle (SRP) is a universally conserved ribonucleoprotein. It is involved in the co-translational targeting of proteins to membranes. The eukaryotic SRP consists of a 300-nucleotide 7S RNA and six proteins: SRPs 72, 68, 54, 19, 14, and 9. Lineage: Eukaryota; Metazoa; Chordata; Mammalia; Primates; Cebidae. The record is from Rfam by way of RNAcentral.
GCCGGGUGCGGUGGCGCGUGCCUGUAGUACCAGCUACUCGGGAGGCCGAGGUGGGAGGAUCACUUGGGCCCAGGAGUUCUGGGCUGUAGUGCACUAUGCCCAUCGGGUGUCCGCACUAAGUUCGGCAUCAAUAUGGUGACCUCCCAGGAGCGGGGGACCACCAGGUUGCCUAAGGAGGGGUGAACCGGCCCAGGUCGGAAACGGAGCAGAUCAAAACUCCCGUGCUGAUCAAUAGUGGGAUCGCGCCUGUGAAUAGCCACUGCACUCCAGCCUGGGCAACAUAGCGAAGGCCCGUCUCUU